Non-coding RNA from Pelobates cultripes (western spadefoot toad), 225 nucleotides. Lineage: Eukaryota; Metazoa; Chordata; Amphibia; Anura; Pelobatidae. The record is from the annotation of a GenBank genome assembly.
GAAGUGGUAGCCUGAUCCAAUCACAGUGCUUCCCCAUAGGAUUGGCUGAGACUGACAAAGAGGCAGAUCAGGGGCAGAGCCAGCAUGCUUCAAACACAGCCCUGGCCAAUCAGCAUCUCCUCAUAGAGAUGAAUUGAAUCAAUGAAUCUCUAUGAGGAAAGUUCAGUGUCUGCAUGCAGAGGGAGGAGAUACUGAAUGUUUAGAUGCAUUUUAGGCAGCCAUGAC